CCUACGGGUGGCUGCAGUGGGGAAUAUUGGACAAUGGGCGAAAGCCUGAUCCAGCCAUGCCGCGUGUGUGAAGAAGGCCUUCGGGUUGUAAAGCACUUUCAGUGGGGAAGAAAGCCUUGGGGCUAAUACCCUCGAGGAAGGACAUCACCCACAGAAGAAGCACCGGCUAACUCCGUGCCAGCAGCCGCGGUAAUACGGAGGGUGCGAGCGUUAAUCGGAAUUACUGGGCGUAAAGCGCGCGUAGGCGGUCUGAUAAGCCGGUUGUGAAAGCCCCGGGCUCAACCUGGGAACGGCAUCCGGAACUGUCAGGCUAGAGUGCAGGAGAGGAAGGUAGAAUUCCCGGUGUAGCGGUGAAAUGCGUAGAGAGCGGGAGGAAUACCAGUGGCGAAGGCGGCCUUCUGGACUGACACUGACGCUGAGGUGCGAAAGCGUGGGUAGCAAACAGGAUUAGAUACCCCGGUAGUC
RNAcentral lists this ribosomal RNA (465 nucleotides) under Vreelandella stevensii. Its description in RNAcentral is "partial 16S ribosomal RNA". It matches the Rfam family "Bacterial small subunit ribosomal RNA", at positions 338 to 795 of the family's 1533-position model. Lineage: Bacteria; Pseudomonadati; Pseudomonadota; Gammaproteobacteria; Oceanospirillales; Halomonadaceae. The record is from RNAcentral.